This 301-nucleotide ribosomal RNA is filed under the name uncultured bacterium. RNAcentral's name for it is "partial 16S ribosomal RNA". It matches the Rfam family "Bacterial small subunit ribosomal RNA", at positions 509 to 807 of the family's 1533-position model. The record is from RNAcentral.
CAGCCGCCGCGGUAAUACGAAGGGUGCAAGCGUUACUCGGAAUUACUGGGCGUAAAGCGUGCGUAGGUGGUGGUUUAAGUCCGUUGUGAAAGCCCUGGGCUCAACCUGGGAAUUGCAGUGGAUACUGGGUCACUAGAGUGUGGUAGAGGAUAGUGGAAUUUCCGGUGUAGCAGUGAAAUGCGUAGAGAUCGGAAGGAACAUCUGUGGCGAAGGCGACUAUCUGGCCCAACACUGACACUGAGGCACGAAAGCGUGGGGAGCAAACAGGAUUAGAUACCCGAGUAGUCCCUGUCUCUUAUAC